Long non-coding RNA from Anthonomus grandis grandis, 1852 nucleotides. RefSeq lists it as uncharacterized. The transcript is spliced from 4 exons. The record is from RefSeq and is a predicted model, not a curated record. NCBI's taxonomy places the organism in Eukaryota, Metazoa, Arthropoda, Insecta, Coleoptera, Curculionidae.
UCGAAAAUGUCAAUUUUUAGAAAGAAAAUAAUAUCACAAGAAAAUAAUAUCAAAAAAUUGACCGCGGACUAAAAUCCAAGCAUCUUACAAAAUAUUUUAAACACUUCCAGCACUCACAGACUUGUCACCUCUUUUUAGCCGGUCUAUUAAACAAAGAUAAAACACCUGCGUUCUGACAAUUCCUACUUUAGGCUGUGCAAGUGAUUGUGUAUCUCUCUCUAUCCCACUGAAUUUAAGAAUUACGGGGCCGUACCCAAACAAAUGUUUGGACCGUUUUUGUAUUAUUUUCGUCGUGUUUUUAAAGAGAUCUUUACGGAUGGGUCUAUCGCCUUUAAAAUACUUGUUGGAUGGGUCUAUCACCUUUAAUAGUUGGGAGGGGGGCCAUGCGAGGUUAUUAUUUGAUGUGUCUUGCCGGUUAUGCUUUUUACACGUUUAUGAAAGUAAAGAAUUUAGAAUUUUGCCUGUAUUCGUCUAAAUUUUUUGCAGUUUUUACUGUGAGGAACAGUGUUUUUUUAUUUGUGUUUGUGGAUUUGUUUUGGUAUUAUACCUAAAGACCUUGAAAUGUUUCGACCCUGGAAAAAUAAGCAGGAAAAUUUGGCAAAUGAAGAGGAAAGUGUUUGUGCGGGCUUAUGGAGACCGUCGGUGUACAAGAAAGACAAUAACAUUUGUGAUAAAAACAAUAAGAGUGAUCUGGGCAGUGAUUUAGACUUACAUAGUUCUGAUAGUUCAUUUUUUAAUAUUGAGGAAGCAAAAAGAAGCCAGGGAAGUAGAAGCUACAGAGGAAAUCAAGCAGUUUUAAAAGAACAAAUUUACCUAAAUAUCUAUAACAAUCUAAGGAAUGAUACUCAGUUCACAAAUGAUUGUAGUGCUUUGCAAAAAAUAGCGUUUUUAACAGGGGUUCCCUAUAGUACAAUAUGCCUGUAAAAAAAAGGAUUAAAGACAGAAUAAAAAGGAAAGAUGCAGGACAAUCAAAGGGACUUGACAUGGAUAUUGCCAAAUUGCUAAGGAAAGGUGCGUAUUCUAAAUACAAAAACAAUGAGGUUCUGACCAUAGAGACACCUUAUCGGCAAGGGACAAACAUUUCUCAGUCUCAACCUUGCGGAGAUACCUAAUAACGCUUGGAUUUAAGCUUAAGAUGGUUAACAAAAGAGCUGCUGUAAUGGAAUUGUCAGGUGGUGUAUAGAAUAUUUGAGGAAAAUUAAAAAAAUUUGGGAGGAAGAAAGAUCCAUAUAUUAUUUAGCCGAAACAUGAUAUGAUACAUUUAUGAUUGAUGUAUGAUUUCCAUUCUCUGGGAAAAAAGUCUCUUUUUUGCCAUACUUACUGCCCCUGUUUGUCCUUCAGUGACACAAUAAAGACUGCUUCUUCCACCAUUCUCUGGGAAAAACCCUUUUUUGCUAUGCUUACUACUCCUGUUGUCCUUCAGCAACACAAUGAAGACUGCUUCUUCCUUCAUUCUCUGGAAAAAAGUACCUUUUUUGCCAUACUUACUGCCCCUGUUUGUCCUUCAGCGACACAAUAAAGUAUAUAUAAUGUAAUGCUUUAGAAUCCAUAUGCUGAUGUGCGAGAUGAAGUUGGAAUCCAUGGCGGCAACAGAGAAACUGUUUCCUUCCUUAAUGGAAGAAACUGCUAAAGAACAAUGGCAAAACAACAGAAUUUACAAAAUUUGUAUUAACUUUUUGGGCCAGAUUCAAAAGAGUGGUUAAAUUUAUAAAAGUAUUUAGUAUCCUCACUGUAGUUUUAGGAUCCAGUAUACUUAAAAUGUAGUGUUUUGUAUAAGAUUUUUAGUUUUUAGUAUAAGCAUUUAUUUUUGUUAAUUUUUAUCUAAUCUCUCCUAAUAUGCAUAAUAACUAAA